Molecule: long non-coding RNA, 3112 nt
Organism: Cucumis melo (muskmelon)
Lineage: Eukaryota; Viridiplantae; Streptophyta; Magnoliopsida; Cucurbitales; Cucurbitaceae
Exons: 3
Source: RefSeq, a predicted model, not a curated record
AAAGUUACGUGCAUCUCUAAGCUUUAGCAAAACUUCUGAUGCAGGGGGCUAAGGAAUCUCAUAUUGACCAUUUUUUUCAUGGGUAAGUAACUUCAAGUCCGGUUCCUCAUCCUUAAUGACCUUAAUGAUUUCUGGAGCCAUUUGGACUUUUGUAGCUGAUAAACAAUUUAUUUUUUAGAGACAAACAAAAAUAAGAAGCUUCCUUUAAAUAAGUUUGAAUAAGAUUUGGUGAGACUUAUUUUUGUUUUGUGCUAUUUGCUCUAACUCAAUCAGUUCGUUUUGUGUUUCUCGUGGUCUUUUACAUUAGAAAAAAAAAAAAUCAAUUUGAUCUUAAAUUUCUUUUGUUAAGUGGAAAGAAAACUUAAUCUAUAAGUACUCAAGUACAACAAAUUAAAAAGUACACUUUAUGGUGACAAUGGUGUGGUUGAAGAUUUUAUACUUAUCAAUUGUGUGGCUGGGUUAGAUUGUCACUCUAGUGAGAAUAUGUAUGUUGUUGCAUCUCCUUCUUUCAAACACAAACAAUUCUAAUGCAUUCAUCCAAUUGUAUGUUGUGUUAAUAUUUUUGUUUCUUUGAUCAAUUGUUGUGAAUGCUUUUUGUGUGAUUUUUGUUUUAUGCUUAGUUUUAGUUUUUGGAUCUCUAGUCUCUUCAAUAGAAGAACAACAUACUAAAUACUAAUUCUCUAUCUAAGGAGUAAGGAUGUUGGUUCACAAGAUGGGAUUGAGUUUCAUAAUUUGUAAUAUAGUGGAAGUAUUAAGUAGUUGUCUUCUUGUAGUUUAUGUUCAUGAAUUGUGUUUUUUAGAGUUUACUUUAGUAAGUUGUGAUUCUUUGCUUUCUCAAAUUAGUUUGAUACAUUGUGAAAUUUGAAGACUUGUCAAGAUGGUUAACUCUCCUCUCUUAUCAAGAUAAUUUUUAAAACUUUGUUAAAGGUAAGAAUAUCUUCCCAUAACAGUAAUGUUCUUUCAUUUUGUCUUUUUUUCUAUUUAAUUCAAUUGCUGAUUUUUCAUUUUCCUAUUGUACUAAUUCAUGACAUUAUGGAGUAAGCGUAACGAGCAUCUCUUUAGAGUCUGUUUCUCUUCAUUUAAAUCUUUUUCUUGGUUUGGUUUUGUCGACAACUUUUUAUUGGUGCAAAACUGGGCACCCUUUUAAGAAUUUUAGUCUUCCUUUUCUAGUAUCCAAUUAGAAAUCUCUUGUGUAAUCAACUUUAGGUGCAUGGAGUCUCCCCUUAUUUUAUUUAUUUAAUGAAUAAUGUUUCUUAUCUAAUUUUUUUUUUCUGUCAUCUCAUCUAAGAAGCAGAUUGUUUCAGACAUUUAUUUGCUUCAUCUCAUAUGCUUUUGUUCUUUUGUUUCUAACUGUUACUUUUGCAAUAACCAUACAACUGGCGUUCCAAACCUUGUAGUUGUAGAGAUUGUGGAUGAUGAAAAGGUACUCUUUCUAUUAUUUUUCUUGGUAAAGGUACUCUUCUAGUCUUCUUAUUAGUUAUUUGAAAUUCUUUGAUUUGAAACUCAUCUUCACAUCAAAGUUAAGUUGGAAGUUCUUAAAAUCACUUUCCAAUAUUUUAACUCAAUUGUGUGUUGAUUAUUUCUCUUUUCUUAGGUUUAGAAUUUGGUUUUUAGCAUGCAGUUGGAGGACUGUCAUUGAGUGGUAAUUGAACUUGUGAUUUUUCUUUAUUAACUGAAAUAACUAACGUGGGGACCAUUAUUCUCAAGAAGUCCUGUAUCUGUAAAGUCCUGUAUCUGUGUUUUUAUUGAUGAUGAUUUUCCAUCAAUUUUGGAUUCAAGCCUGCCUUCUCUUGUUUUUUAUCAUUUUUAUCGAAAAAAAAUUAUUCAAAUGAUUAACUUUUCUAUUUUAUGCUGUACACUAUAACUUUCUGUUAUAUUUGGUUUAAAUCUUCUCUCAGAUUGCUAACCGUUUGGAUUAGAUCGUUGAAAGUAUUGGGAGGAAGCCUCUUAAGGUGUUUAUCUAAGUGAAUACAAUUGGAGAAGAAUGUAUCAACUAUUCAAUCUUGCUCACAGGGUAUCAACAAAGUUGUCGAGUCUUUGCAACUUAUAUUGCCCAAUGUACGAAAGUCUCAUUUGCGAAAUUAAGUUCAGGAAGUAUAUGGUUUUGUAGAAAAUCAAUGGUAGGUUGGUGAACUAGCUCUAAAUCUAUACUUUUGUCGUUUCGCUUUCGAGUAAGACAGUUUUGGAACCAAGUUUUGAUAAUCCUCUUGUUUUGUUCAUUCAAAUUCAUACAUGGGGGGAGCAAAUUGUUCUAGAGUAGAAGUUUUUUAGUUGCUUGUUCGUGUCCCUGCCUGAUAUAUAACAAAAAUUUUAUUCUCACUUUGCUUAGAUUUGAGUUUGUUCAUUUUUAUUUGUGUUCAAUCUUACUUACCAGUAAGCACGAUGUAAUGUAUGCAGGUUAAGAAGACUAUUUUAGAAAAACAUGGUGUUUUGUCGUCUCCAUGUUUGCACAAGGAUUUUGACUUAUGGAGAUAAAAUGAUCAUGUGUACUUUACUUGGUAUGGAUUAACAUUUUUCUUUUUUGUUUGGAAGAAAAAGGUACCUGGAGACCAAAAAGUAUUGCAGCAUCUUUUUCGCAACGUUACUUACCGCCUGCUGGAAAAUGUAUUAAUCCAAAUGAAACCUCACCUCAAUCAUUGAAACCAGGUUUAGCUAUCCAAGAUCAGAGAACUUGCACAAAUCAACAAUAGGCUCAUCUCAUUUUACCAGCAAAAUUAGGCAUUGAGUCCUUGGGGUGUGUGGAGCUCGCUAAACAUGUUAGUUUGAACUGCCUAAAUCUUCGGUUUUUUGGGCUGCUAAUGACGAUUGGAAUGUUAGAUUACACGUCCACACCAGAAAACUUCAAGCUGACAAAACACUUCCUUUUAAACCCCAACCUCAUCUCGCUCACCAUUCCUUUGUUACGAGAAACUUACCGAGUCUUUUUUUGCAUCUUAUGCUCUUACUGAUUGGAAUAAAUUGGUUGUAAUUAUUGGUUAACUGUAGAAUGGAAGUUUGCGGUAAACCUGCCUAGACCUAGGAUUCACUUCCACCAGCGUCUUGCAGUAAUUUUGAGAUUUCCACUAGCGUCUUGCGAUAGGUCAUACCAUACCAUGUCAUACAAUCAUCACGA